GGACAACAGUUGGAAACGACUGCUAAUACCGCAUAAGCCCACAGCUCGGCAUCGAGCAGAGGGAAAAGGAGCAAUCCGCUUUGAGAUGGCCUCGCGUCCGAUUAGCUAGUUGGUGAGGUAACGGCCCACCAAGGCGACGAUCGGUAGCCGGACUGAGAGGUUGAACGGCCACAUUGGGACUGGGACACGGCCCAGACUCCUACGGGAGGCAGCAGUGGGGAAUAUUGCACAAUGGGGGAAACCCUGAUGCAGCGACGCCGCGUGGAGGAAGAAGGUCUUCGGAUUGUAAACUCCUGUUGUUGAGGAAGAUAAUGACGGUACUCAACAAGGAAGUGACGGCUAACUACGUGCCAGCAGCCGCGGUAAAACGUAGGUCACAAGCGUUGUCCGGAAUUACUGGGUGUAAAGGGAGCGCAGGCGGGAGAACAAGUUGGAAGUGAAAUCCAUGGGCUCAACCCAUGAACUGCUUUCAAAACUGUUUUUCUUGAGUAGUGCAGAGGUAGGCGGAAUUCCCGGUGUAGCGGUGGAAUGCGUAGAUAUCGGGAGGAACACCAGUGGCGAAGGCGGCCUACUGGGCACCAACUGACGCUGAGGCUCGAAAGUGUGGGUAGCAAACAGGAUUAGAUACCCUGGUAGUCCACACCGUAAACGAUGAAUACUAGGUGUUGGAGGAUUGACCCCUUCAGUGCCGCAG
This 694-nucleotide ribosomal RNA is filed under the name uncultured bacterium. Its description in RNAcentral is "bacterial SSU rRNA". It matches the Rfam family "Bacterial small subunit ribosomal RNA", at positions 141 to 851 of the family's 1533-position model. The record is from RNAcentral.